UACGAAGGGGGCUAGCGUUGUUCGGAAUUACUGGGCGUAAAGCGCACGUAGGCGGAUCGAUCAGUCAGGGGUGAAAUCCCAGGGCUCAACCCUGGAACUGCCUUUGAUACUGUCGAUCUGGAGUAUGGAAGAGGUGAGUGGAAUUCCGAGUGUAGAGGUGAAAUUCGUAGAUAUCGGGAGGAACACCAGUGGCGAAGGCGGCUGCCUGGGCCAGUUCUGACGCUGAGGCGCGAAAGCGUGGGGAGCAAACAGG
This 253-nucleotide ribosomal RNA is filed under the name uncultured bacterium. RNAcentral describes it as "partial 16S ribosomal RNA". It matches the Rfam family "Bacterial small subunit ribosomal RNA", at positions 524 to 776 of the family's 1533-position model. The record is from RNAcentral.